RNAcentral lists this ribosomal RNA (1372 nucleotides) under uncultured bacterium. Its description in RNAcentral is "bacterial SSU rRNA". It matches the Rfam family "Bacterial small subunit ribosomal RNA", at positions 28 to 1381 of the family's 1533-position model. The record is from RNAcentral.
GAUGAACGCUGGCGGCGUGCCUAAUACAUGCAAGUCGAGCGAACGGACGAGAAGCUUGCUUCUCUGAUGUUAGCGGCGGACGGGUGAGUAACACGUGGAUAACCUACCUAUAAGACUGGGAUAACUUCGGGAAACCGGAGCUAAUACCGGAUAAUAUUUUGAACCGCAUGGUUCAAAAGUGAAAGACGGUCUUGCUGUCACUUAUAGAUGGAUCCGCGCUGCAUUAGCUAGUUGGUAAGGUAACGGCUUACCAAGGCAACGAUGCAUAGCCGACCUGAGAGGGUGAUCGGCCACACUGGAACUGAGACACGGUCCAGACUCCUACGGGAGGCAGCAGUAGGGAAUCUUCCGCAAUGGGCGAAAGCCUGACGGAGCAACGCCGCGUGAGUGAUGAAGGUCUUCGGAUCGUAAAACUCUGUUAUUAGGGAAGAACAUAUGUGUAAGUAACUGUGCACAUCUUGACGGUACCUAAUCAGAAAGCCACGGCUAACUACGUGCCAGCAGCCGCGGUAAUACGUAGGUGGCAAGCGUUAUCCGGAAUUAUUGGGCGUAAAGCGCGCGUAGGCGGUUUUUUAAGUCUGAUGUGAAAGCCCACGGCUCAACCGUGGAGGGUCAUUGGAAACUGGAAAACUUGAGUGCAGAAGAGGAAAGUGGAAUUCCAUGUGUAGCGGUGAAAUGCGCAGAGAUAUGGAGGAACACCAGUGGCGAAGGCGACUUUCUGGUCUGUAACUGACGCUGAUGUGCGAAAGCGUGGGGAUCAAACAGGAUUAGAUACCCUGGUAGUCCACGCCGUAAACGAUGAGUGCUAAAUGUUAGGGGGUUUCCGCCCCUUAGUGCUGCAGCUAACGCAUUAAGCACUCCGCCUGGGGAGUACGACCGCAAGGUUGAAACUCAAAGGAAUUGACGGGGACCCGCACAAGCGGUGGAGCAUGUGGUUUAAUUCGAAGCAACGCGAAGAACCUUACCAAAUCUUGACAUCCUUUGACAACUCUAGAGAUAGAGCCUUCCCCUUCGGGGGACAAAGUGACAGGUGGUGCAUGGUUGUCGUCAGCUCGUGUCGUGAGAUGUUGGGUUAAGUCCCGCAACGAGCGCAACCCUUAAGCUUAGUUGCCAUCAUUAAGUUGGGCACUCUAAGUUGACUGCCGGUGACAAACCGGAGGAAGGUGGGGAUGACGUCAAAUCAUCAUGCCCCUUAUGAUUUGGGCUACACACGUGCUACAAUGGACAAUACAAAGGGCAGCGAAACCGCGAGGUCAAGCAAAUCCCAUAAAGUUGUUCUCAGUUCGGAUUGUAGUCUGCAACUCGACUACAUGAAGCUGGAAUCGCUAGUAAUCGUAGAUCAGCAUGCUACGGUGAAUACGUUCCCGGGUCU